This 264-nucleotide ribosomal RNA is filed under the name uncultured soil bacterium. Its description in RNAcentral is "partial 16S ribosomal RNA". It matches the Rfam family "Bacterial small subunit ribosomal RNA", at positions 26 to 273 of the family's 1533-position model. The record is from RNAcentral.
AGAACGAACGCUGGCGGCGUGGAUAAGACAUGCAAGUCGAACGGGAUUACUUUUGGUAGCAAUACCGAAAGUAAUUCAGUGGCGAACGGGUGCGUAACACGUGGGCAAUCUGCCGAAAAGUGGGGGAUAGCUCGCCGAAAGGCGAAUUAAUACCGCAUGUGGUGAGGGACGACAUCUUCCUGAAUCCAAAGCCGGGGCAACCUGGCGCUUUUUGAGGAGCCCGCGGCCUAUCAGCUUGUUGGCGGGGUAACGGCCCACCGAAGG